GAUGAACGCUAGCGAUAGGCUUAACACAUGCAAGUCGAGGGGCAGCAUGAUCUUAGCUUGCUAAGGUCGAUGGCGACCGGCGCACGGGUGCGUAACGCGUAUGCAACUUGCCUUACAGAGGGGGAUAACCCGUUGAAAGACGGACUAAAACCGCAUACACUUGUAUUAUUGCAUGAUAUUACAAGGAAAUAUUUAUAGCUGUAAGAUAGGCAUGCGUCCCAUUAGCUGGUUGGUGAGGUAACGGCUCACCAAGGCGACGAUGGGUAGGGGAACUGAGAGGUUUAUCCCCCACACUGGUACUGAGACACGGACCAGACUCCUACGGGAGGCAGCAGUGAGGAAUAUUGGUCAAUGGGCGAGAGCCUGAACCAGCCAAGUCGCGUGAAGGAAGACAGUCCUAAGGAUUGUAAACUUCUUUUAUACGGGAAUAACGGGCGAUACGAGUAUUGCAUUGAAUGUA
Molecule: ribosomal RNA, 460 nt
Filed under: Porphyromonas gingivalis
Lineage: Bacteria; Pseudomonadati; Bacteroidota; Bacteroidia; Bacteroidales; Porphyromonadaceae
Description: bacterial SSU rRNA
Rfam family: Bacterial small subunit ribosomal RNA
Source: RNAcentral